RNAcentral lists this ribosomal RNA (851 nucleotides) under Rimula sp. MNHN IM 2013-9217. RNAcentral's name for it is "partial large subunit ribosomal RNA". It matches the Rfam family "Eukaryotic large subunit ribosomal RNA", at positions 666 to 1847 of the family's 3401-position model. Lineage: Eukaryota; Metazoa; Mollusca; Gastropoda; Lepetellida; Fissurellidae. The record is from RNAcentral.
CCAAGGAGUCCAACACGUGCGCGAGUCAUUGGGUCUUACGAAACCUAAAGGCGCAGUGAAAGCGAAGGCGAGUUCGGCUCGUCCGCGGUGAGAUCUGCGGGGCUGGAAAUUUUUUCCCCGCGGCGCAUCACCGGCCCGUCGCCUCGCGCGGCGGAGCGAGAGCGCACGCGUUGGGACCCGAAAGAUGGUGAACUAUGCCUGAGCAGGACGAAGCCAGAGGAAACUCUGGUGGAAGUCCGCAGCGAUUCUGACGUGCAAAUCGAUCGUCACACUUGGGUAUAGGGGCGAAAGACUAAUCGAACCAUCUAGUAGCUGGUUCCCUCCGAAGUUUCCCUCAGGAUAGCUGGCGCUCAUUUUGAGCAGUUUUAUCCGGUAAAGCGAAUGAUUAGAGGCCUUGGGGUCGAAACGUCCUCAACCUAUUCUCAAACUUUAAAUGGGUAAGGCGCCGGACUCGCUCGAUGUUUUUUGGAGUCCCGGCCUUGAAUGCGAGUGGCCAAGUGGGCCACUUUUGUUGGGCCAUGGACUACUAAAUUAUUGAAAAUAAUAAAGUCCGCCCCAUUUGGUCGAAAGGGAAUCUGGUUAAUAUUCCAGAACCCGGCCACGGAGAUUGACCCCGCUCGAGGGGUCGCGUGCGGCAACGCAACCGAAGUCGGAGACGUCGGCGGGAGUCCCGGGAAGAGUUUUCUUUUCUUUGUAAGGGUCCCCUCUCCCUGGAAUCGAAUUACUCGGCGAUAGGGAAACGGGGAAGAAGUCUGUCCCGUAAAGCACCGCGGCUCUUGCGGUGUCCGGUGCACUCCCGACGGCCCUUGAAAAUCCGACGGAGACGGUGUUAAUUUCGUGCCGGGCCGUAC